RNAcentral lists this long non-coding RNA (575 nucleotides) under Nicotiana benthamiana. Its description in RNAcentral is "long non-coding RNA (NBEN_LNC002397)". The record is from RNAcentral. Lineage: Eukaryota; Viridiplantae; Streptophyta; Magnoliopsida; Solanales; Solanaceae.
CAAGAAGGAGGCUCAACUUUUCCACAUAUGGAUUCAGGUUAGCUUCCGCUCAUGUAAUUGUAAAUCCGAUUAUUCAAAUGAAGAUUGUUGUCUUUAGUAGGAAUCAUAAUCCUAACACAUGCAUUAUCUUGUUGGAUAAAAAUAGGGCCAUUUGACCUUGAAAAUGGCCACUUUGAUCGAAUGGCAGGAAGACCCCUUUCAAUUAAACAAGUUUUAGUCAUAUCUUUAUUGACAGAUAAAAUAAGUUUGUUUCCAAAGUUCCAACAACUCGAUUUUGUCUAUUUAUUCUUGCCGGUUCCUUGACAACAAAAGGGAAAAUUCCUAUUUUUCCUAAAAAAUAUUCAACUCCAUCUUCAUCAUACCUAGGGCGUGCAACUGCAUCCAUAAACAUAACUUUCAUUAUAAAAUUCUUACUUUUGCAUGCUCUAUAUGGGAUCGGCUCUUGUUCUUCAGGGAGAAGAUAGUAUCAUUCAGAUUUUUUGGAUAGAAAAAAUCAUUUCUCGUUGAUAUGAACAAAAUGUUAAAGCUAGUUAAUGAUUAAAGCUAGCUAAGUUGGUGUGAAUGAGAAAUGGAGG